This 199-nucleotide long non-coding RNA is filed under the name Ananas comosus (pineapple). Its description in RNAcentral is "long non-coding RNA (ACOM_LNC003041)". Lineage: Eukaryota; Viridiplantae; Streptophyta; Magnoliopsida; Poales; Bromeliaceae. The record is from RNAcentral.
UAUUAAUCCAAUCAUUCAAUUCUUAAGUGAAAAAACUAUAACUAGUGCUGUAUAGUGGAUAUUGAACAAUCAGAUAAAAUUAGAUGGCAGAUGAACGCACGAAAAUAAUAAAUCAUAUGAAAUAAAUUGAAAGGUAAUAUAGUAAAAUUAAAAGUUAAAUCUUUUUCAAGCCAAUUGUAAAGAUUUUUUACCUUAUUAU